RNAcentral lists this ribosomal RNA (2075 nucleotides) under human metagenome. RNAcentral describes it as "bacterial LSU rRNA". It matches the Rfam family "Bacterial large subunit ribosomal RNA", at positions 3 to 2106 of the family's 2925-position model. The record is from RNAcentral.
UCAAGUUACAAAGGGCGCAGGGCGGAUGCCUUGGCACCAGGAGCCGAAGAAGGACGUGAUAAGCUGCGAAAAGCUGCGGGGAGGAGCAAAUAUCCAUUGAUCCGCAGGUAUCCGAAUGGGGAAACCCGGCAGAAAGAACUUCUGUCACCGUAUGAUGAAUCCAUAGUCAUACGGAGGGAACCCGGCGAACUGAAACAUCUAAGUAGCCGGAGGAAGAGGAAGAAACAUCGAAUCCCUAAGUAGUGGCGAGCGAAAGGGGACGAAGCCCAAACCAAGGAUUUAUCCUUGGGGUAGAGGACCACAUACGAAGAAGCAGUAGGUAGCAGAACGGUUUUGGGAAAGCCGGCCAAAGAGAGUGAAAGCCUCGUAUGCGAAACAGACUGUGAUUCAGUGGUAUCCGGAGUACUACGGGACACGAGAAACCCCGUAGGAAGCAGGGGGGACCACCCCCCAAGGCGAAAUACUACCUGGUGACCGAUAGAGUAUAGUACCGUGAGGGAAAGGUGAAAAGAACCCCGGGAGGGGAGUGAAAGAGAACCUGAAACCCUGUGUCUACAAGCUGCGGAAGAGCGACUAACGCUCGACCGUGUACUUUUUGUAGAACGGUCCGGCGAGUUGCCGUUGCUGGCAGGUUAAGUACUUAAGGUACGGAGCCGAAGGGAAACCAAGUCUUAAUAGGGCGGUAAGUCAGUAACGGCAGACCCGAAACCGGGUGACCUACCCAUGGCCAGGAUGAAGUCUGCGUAAAAGUGGAUGGAGGUCCGAACACACGUCUGUUGAAAAAGGCGGUGAUGAGCUGUGGGUAGCGGAGAAAUUCCAAUCGAACUCGGAGAUAGCUGGUUCUCCCCGAAAUAGCUUUAGGGCUAGCCUCGGUAUAGUCUAAUGGAGGUAGAGCACUGAAUCGCUGCGGGGGCGUCAAAGUCUACCAAUGCGUAUCAAACUCCGAAUGCCAUAUAGAUGUUUACCGGGAGUCAGACUGUAUGAGAUAAGUCGGACAGUCAAAAGGGAAACAGCCCAGACCAUCUGCUAAGGUCCCAAAGUGUAUGUUAAGUGGUAAAGGAUGUGGGGUUUCGAAGACAACUAGGAUGUUGGCUCAGAAGCAGCCAUUCAUUCAAAGAGUGCGUAAUAGCUCACUAGUCGAGAGGUCCUGCGCCGAAAAUGUCCGGGGCUGAAACAUAACACCGAAGCAAUGGAAUAUACCGCAAGGUAUGUUGGUAGGGGAGCAUUGAUAACACGAAGAAGCGGUACCGUAAGGAGCCGUGGAGAGUUAUCAAGAGAGAAUGCCGGAAUGAGUAGCGAGAUGAAGGUGAGAAUCCUUCAGGCCGUAUAUCCAAGGUUUCCAGGGUAAAGCUGAUCUUCCCUGGGGAAGUCGGGACCUAAGCUCAGGCUGAGAAGCGUAGGCGAUGGACAACUGGUUGAUAUUCCAGUACCUCUGGCUGUCAGAAAUGUGGGGACACGGAAAUUCAGGAAGUGCCUGUAAAGGAUUCAGGUGCAAGCAUGGUUUAUGCCGGGCAGGCAAAUCCGUCCGGGUAAGUGAACUGUGUGAUGCGGACCGAAAUAUAAGUAGGGAAGCUCCUGGGAGAGCCGUCGAGAAAAGCCGCUAUUGUGUAGUCAGAGCCCGUACCGUAAACCGACACAGGUGGAUGGGGAGAGUAUCCCAAGGCCGGCGGGAGAAGCAUUGUUAAGGAACUCGGCAAAAUGGCCCCGUAAGUUCGCGAUAAGGGGUGCCUGUAGAGAUACAGGCCGCAGAGAAUAGGCUCAAGCAACUGUUUAGCAAAAACACAGGUCUAUGCGAAACCGUAAGGUGAUGUAUAUGGGCUGACGCCUGCCCGGUGCUGGAAGGUUACGGGGAGUGCUUAGGAGCAAUCCGAAGGUACGAACUUAAGCCCCAGUAAACGGCGGCCGUAACUAUAACGGUCCUAAGGUAGCGAAAUUCCUUGUCGGGUAAGUUCCGACCCGCACGAAAGGCGUAAUGAUUUGAGCGCUGUCUCAACAAUGCACCCGGUGAAAUUGAAGUACCAGUGAAGAUGCUGGUUACCUGCGCCAGGACGGAAAGACCCCAUGGAGCUUUACUC